This 160-nucleotide ribosomal RNA is filed under the name Caryophanon sp. 2003_NPK(9). Its description in RNAcentral is "partial 16S ribosomal RNA". It matches the Rfam family "Bacterial small subunit ribosomal RNA", at positions 355 to 507 of the family's 1533-position model. The record is from RNAcentral. Lineage: Bacteria; Bacillati; Bacillota; Bacilli; Caryophanales; Caryophanaceae.
UAGGGAAUCUUCCACAAUGGGCGAAAGCCUGAUGGAGCAACGCCGCGUGAGUGAAGAAGGAUUUCGGUUCGUAAAACUCUGUUGUAAGGGAAGAACAAGUACAGUAGUAACUGGCUGUACCUUGACGGUACCUUAUUAGAAGGCCACGGCUAACUACGUG